This 370-nucleotide ribosomal RNA is filed under the name uncultured bacterium. RNAcentral's name for it is "bacterial SSU rRNA". It matches the Rfam family "Bacterial small subunit ribosomal RNA", at positions 525 to 896 of the family's 1533-position model. The record is from RNAcentral.
ACGAACCGUGCGAACGUUGUUCGGAAUCACUGGGCUUAAAGGGCGCGUAGGCGGCCAGGAACGUCCGGGGUGAAAUCUUUCGGCCCAACCGGAAAAGGGCCCCGGAUACGGCCUGGCUGGAGGGGGAUAGGGGCGGACGGAACUUCCGGUGGAGCGGUGAAAUGCGUUGAUAUCGGAAGGAACGCCGGUGGCGAAAGCGGUCCGCUGGGUCCCUACUGACGCUGAGGCGCGAAAGCCAGGGGAGCGAACGGGAUUAGAUACCCCGGUAGUCCUGGCCCUAAACGAUGGGUACUGGGUAGCGGGCCUUCUGGGCGCGCUGCCGUAGCAAAAGUGGUAAGUACCCCGCCUGAGGAGUAUGGUCGCAAGACUG